GGGAUGGACCUCCAGAUUUCCUUACUGACCUGCAUUAUCUUGUGGAUACCUGAGUGAAUUCCACACCACCCAUUUUAUAGAUGAAACCACUGAGACAUGGAGCAAUUGACUGAGUAGUCACUGCCCCACCCCUGCCUGGAGCCUCACACAUGACUCGCCUCCUCUCAGUGACCACAGGAAAACAAGCUCAGGGCUCCCACUGAUUGUACAUUAUGAGACGGAGUCUUGCUAUGUUGCCCAGGCUGGUCUUGAACUCCUCACCUCAAGCGAUCCUCCCGUCUUGGCCUCCCAAGUGUCAGGAUUACGGGCAUGUGCUAUCACACCCAACCUGAUACAUUGCCUUUAUAAAUUUUUUUUUCUUUAUUCUAAAAACCAGAAAAAACAAAACUGGAUACAUGUGCAGAACAUGCAGACCAAGUGUGUUGGGGACUUGAGAUGCGUACAUGAGUGUGAUGUUUCCUGCUGAAAGCACAGGUGAGACGUGGUCUUGUAACACAGUGGUUAAGAAUGUGACUUUGGAGCCAGCCUGCUAGGGGCUGAAUUCUGACUCAGCCAUUUACUAACUGUGUGACCUUAGGGAGGAGGACCUGGUUGAUAGAAGAAUUUAUCUCGUAGUCUUAACAUCCACUGUAAUUCCAAACUUUGAGGACGAUAGAGAUCAGUGGGCUUUGACUGCCCAGCAUGCAGUCUCCAU
This 694-nucleotide long non-coding RNA is filed under the name Homo sapiens (human). RNAcentral describes it as "PCBP1 antisense RNA 1". Lineage: Eukaryota; Metazoa; Chordata; Mammalia; Primates; Hominidae. The record is from RNAcentral.